Molecule: ribosomal RNA, 441 nt
Filed under: uncultured bacterium
Lineage: Bacteria
Description: bacterial SSU rRNA
Rfam family: Bacterial small subunit ribosomal RNA
Source: RNAcentral
CCUACGGGAUGCAGCAGUGGGGAAUCUUGCGCAAUGGGCGAAAGCCUGACGCAGCAACGCCGCGUGCGGGAUGAAGGCCUUCGGGUUGUAAACCGCUUUCAGCAGGGAAGAAAUUGACGGUACCUGCAGAAGAAGCCCCGGCCAACUGCGUGCCAGCAGCCGCGGUAACACGUAGGGGGCGAGCGUUGUCCGGAUUUAUUGGGCGUAAAGAGCUCGUAGGCGGUUCGCUAAGUCGGGUGUGAAACCUCCAGGCUCAACCUGGAGACGCCACCUGAUACUGGUGUGACUAGAGUCCGGUAGGGGAGUGUGGAACUCCUGGUGUAGCGGUGAAAUGCGCAGAUAUCAGGAAGAACACCAGCGGCGAAGGCGGCACUCUGGGCCGGUACUGACGCUGAGGAGCGAAAGCGUGGGUAGCAAACAGGAUUAGAUACCCGUGUAGUC